AUGAACGCUGGCGGCGUGCCUAAUACAUGCAAGUCGAGCGAACGGACGAGAAGCUUGCUUCUCUGAUGUUAGCGGCGGACGGGUGAGUAACACGUGGAUAACCUACCUAUAAGACUGGGAUAACUUCGGGAAACCGGAGCUAAUACCGGAUAAUAUUUUGAACCGCAUGGUUCAAAAGUGAAAGACGGUCUUGCUGUCACUUAUAGAUGGAUCCGCGCUGUAUUAGCUAGUUGGUAAGGUAACGGCUUACCAAGGCAACGAUGCAUAGCCGACCUGAGAGGGUGAUCGGCCACACUGGAACUGAGACACGGUCCAGACUCCUACGGGAGGCAGCAGUAGGGAAUCUUCCGCAAUGGGCGAAAGCCUGACGGAGCAACGCCGCGUGAGUGAUGAAUGUCUUCGGAUCGUAAAACUCUGUUAUUAGGGAAGAACAUAUGUGUAAGUAACUGUGCACAUCUUGACGGUACCUAAUCAGAAAGCCACGGCUAACUACGUG
RNAcentral lists this ribosomal RNA (496 nucleotides) under uncultured bacterium. RNAcentral's name for it is "partial 16S ribosomal RNA". It matches the Rfam family "Bacterial small subunit ribosomal RNA", at positions 29 to 507 of the family's 1533-position model. The record is from RNAcentral.